RNAcentral lists this microRNA precursor (166 nucleotides) under Oryza brachyantha (malo sina). RNAcentral describes it as "MIR812 microRNA precursor family". It matches the Rfam family "MIR812 microRNA precursor family", at positions 27 to 193 of the family's 205-position model. The record is from Rfam by way of RNAcentral. Lineage: Eukaryota; Viridiplantae; Streptophyta; Magnoliopsida; Poales; Poaceae.
UAUAAUUUUUGACUAUUCAUCUUAUUCAAUUUUUUUGCGAUUGAUAUUUUUGUUUUUAUUAGAUGAUAAAUCAUGAAUAAUCUUUACGUGUGACUAAUUUUCUUCUAAUUUCUUGAAAAUUUUUCAAAUAAGACGGACGGUCAAACGUUGGACAAAGAAACCGAAG